AUAGUUUCCCGAUUAUGAUGUUUUUGAGCAUCACUUUAUGCAGGCUCAUGUGGUUCUAUGCUGGUUAAUUCAAUGAUCAUUUUCCCCUUUUCUUUAAGGUGUUGGUAACCUCUCAGGGUGGUGGUGUGCUAGCUGCUGGAUGACGCGUCUUCCCUGGGUGACGACUGAAAGUUCGUUGCAGGUUCUCUGGAUUUAUCUGCUUCGUUUGAUCUUGUUUUCAAUUCAAUGAUUCUUCAUUUCAUCUUUGUUGAAGAUAUAAAAACCAAAUUCAAUUGUUUUCAAAAAAGAUGCUACUGAUGCAGCACUGGAGAUUUAUGAUUCUUAAGGAUUUUGAAAAAGGCAGAUUGGCUUCUUUCGCUUGUGGCAUAUUCUAUUUUUAAUAAUGUGAUUGACUUUGCAUCUCUUCCUUGCACGAUUGAAUUUGCAGUUCUGCAAGGCUUCAUGGUGA
This is a long non-coding RNA of Olea europaea var. sylvestris, 448 nucleotides long. RefSeq lists it as uncharacterized. NCBI's taxonomy places the organism in Eukaryota, Viridiplantae, Streptophyta, Magnoliopsida, Lamiales, Oleaceae. The record is from RefSeq and is a predicted model, not a curated record. The transcript is spliced from 2 exons.